Molecule: unclassified non-coding RNA, 1032 nt
Filed under: Bombus terrestris (buff-tailed bumblebee)
Lineage: Eukaryota; Metazoa; Arthropoda; Insecta; Hymenoptera; Apidae
Description: misc RNA ENSBTSG00005028471.1
Source: RNAcentral
CUGUAUCAUCUAUCCGUAUCUAAAUCAUAGAAACGCGUUCAUUUUGUAUAAUUGUUACGUUUGUCGUUGUUUACGAAAUCGUUUUUUAGGUUAGUUUUGUGAAACUUUGUGGAAGGUGAAGUCUCUCGGAAGAAACAGACGAUUCUCGAUGUACACGAGGUCUGGCGGACGAUGUUGCCCGAUCCUGGCCGAGCCGUAACGCUACCCUGACUGUGCAACAGGAAACACGUGCGCCCGGUGAAAGUGACAGCUCGGAGCGCGCCAAAUUUGAAACGGAGAUCGAAGAAUCGCGUUGUUCGUCGACAAGAGAGGGGAAUAGACCUGGAGGAAAGAUAAGAACGAAAUGGACACGAUACGUUCCGUCCCCACCACUUCUACCAGCAGAAUAGAAGGAGUUUCUCGGCUCCACCUCUUCCCCUUCCGAUAAUACCCUCCUUCGACGGUGGAUGACGAUUUGACUCUGACUUACUGUACUUAGGUACCUCGCUCUUCAACCCCCUAAGACUUCUGUUUACAUCUCUCAUACACCCAGAAAAUCAGAACAGACUAACAUAAUCCACAUAUAUACAUAUAUAAUGUACACAAGCUUUUACAUAUAUGGAGAACGCAACGAGCUGAUAAUAAGCAGACAAAGGGAAAGAGUCUCUGUUGUUGAGAAGUAUAUUUAGAUCGAACGACACAGGGAAACGAGGUGAAGAGGAGGGUUUGGAAGCGACUUUUUGCACGCGAGCCGCUCUUUUUUACGUCGUAGGUAUGCCGACCGGAUAGUAUUGCCGUGUGGCCAGGCUGGCAGGGCCGACCAAUUGAGCCUGUUAACGUCAAUUGAGCUGAAUUAGUUCAAUUGGACGUAAUUGCGCGAAGGCGACGGGGAACCUUCGCUCUCUGUUCACCAGCCAUGCUCGCGUUUCUCUUUUCGCGCUGAUAUCGCCGUAUUCUCAGGACUUCCUUCAAAGUACAGUCCAAACAUAAGUUCGACAUAAUCGAGGAAUGUUGUACAAGACUGAUUUGAUACAUAGAUUGUUUAAAACACUG